Molecule: unclassified non-coding RNA, 201 nt
Filed under: Hevea brasiliensis (rubber tree)
Lineage: Eukaryota; Viridiplantae; Streptophyta; Magnoliopsida; Malpighiales; Euphorbiaceae
Source: RNAcentral
GUGGUACCAUUCCAUCCAAAGUUGAAACCAUGAUCUAGUGCUGGUGUAAAGCAUGCAAACACUGUGCAUAUUCUUGGCUUGGAUGGGCCUAAACAACAGAAAGAGUUCAAUGAGAAGAAACUUGUGCAUGGCAAUGACCCAUCUUGUUGAUAAUUACAGGUUGAGAUGGCUUGCCUUGGUGUCAUAAAACUUGAGGAAGAA